GCGGAACACACACAGGGAAGCCCUCUGAGAACCAUCUAUAGCACCCAGAUUUUACAUUCUGAAAUCACUGCCCCAGAGCAGACCAGAAGCUGGAAGAAGGCUAAAGAGCAUCCAAACUCAAACCAGUCAAGCUUGUCCAGGGGCCCCUUCCCUCCCUUGGGAAGAUCAGCCCAGGAAGGUACCCAGUAAAUUUCCCCCAGUGAGCAACUGCAGAGCUGCACCCAGACCCAGGGAAGGCCUGCCCCCAGAAACACAGAAGCCAGAGGUAAGGAAACUCCAGACCUGAGACCAACUCAACUCCUGCUGGAAUCCAGACACUCACAGAACAUUUCUGGGCUUAUUUUGGCAAAAAAGAUGGCUGUGGAGAAGAAGAUGGAAUGUUUUCAGCUUAGGAGGGCUCUGUGAGCACCGUGCCUUACUCUCUACAUGAUCAGAAAUGUGGGCACCGAAAACAGCAAGAGAAAGUUUGGAGUAGAGAUGUACUGGUGUAGCCGAGGAAGUCUUCCAGGGCACUGGAUACCAGUUCCUCUGCCCAAAUCUGUUACUCAGUGUAUGCUGUCGGGCAAGUCGGAGUUCACGCAGUCAGCAUCUGUCUGUGUGCCAGGCACUACAUCAAGUGGUCGGGUUGCAUUAACUGUACUUUUCAGACCCAGCUGCCAUCGCUCAAGCACCAGGAAGGUAGGCCGGCCCCGAUCCACUGAGGGAAGGAGAACCACGCCUGCUCCCGACCCAGCCGCCAUCACUCAAGCGAUGGGAAGGUAGCCACGUGGGUGCCCCUGAACCCCGAUAAUCCCCACCCCCCUGCACUCUCAGACCUCUUGACUGUGCACAUCUUUGGACCCACUCUGCAAAGACAGAGGUGGUCAUCAAGGGUAUUUUUCUGAGUUCCCAAAUUUGAACAUCUUUAAAGAAAGGGCGUGGGAAACCUGUAAUAGAACAUUGCGGAGUUCAACCAUUCAGAAGGAUGGGGAACUCAAUCUGGGCCUUGCAGCCUGAGGUCAGUCAGCGUCAUGGGGUUCAGCAAUCAGCUAACUGAGAUCAGGGGUCUUACAUCCUCGCUCUGAGCCAUUAAAUGGUAAAUACACUAUAUUGAAAAGUUUGUUCACUGCAGACGUGUUCUGGACUGUCUCUUGAUUUCAAUUUUAAUUCAAAUAAAUUAAGGGCAAUAGACUAGUGACUACCACAGGUGGUCAGUGUCCAAGCUGUGC
This 1208-nucleotide long non-coding RNA is filed under the name Fukomys damarensis (Damara mole-rat). Its description in RNAcentral is "lncRNA (ENSFDAG00000029435.1)". The record is from RNAcentral. Lineage: Eukaryota; Metazoa; Chordata; Mammalia; Rodentia; Bathyergidae.